UGCAAUAUUUUGACUCUUCGUCUUAUUUAAAAUUUUAUUGUGAUUAACAUUUUUAUUCUUACUAGAUGAUAAAACAUGAAUAGUACUUUAUGCGUGACUAAUUUUUUUAAGUUUAUUUAAAUUUUUUUCAAAUAAGACGAAUGAUCAAACGUUGGACAUGGAAA
RNAcentral lists this microRNA precursor (164 nucleotides) under Oryza brachyantha (malo sina). RNAcentral describes it as "MIR812 microRNA precursor family". It matches the Rfam family "MIR812 microRNA precursor family", at positions 27 to 187 of the family's 205-position model. The record is from Rfam by way of RNAcentral. Lineage: Eukaryota; Viridiplantae; Streptophyta; Magnoliopsida; Poales; Poaceae.